RNAcentral lists this ribosomal RNA (484 nucleotides) under uncultured bacterium. Its description in RNAcentral is "partial 16S ribosomal RNA". It matches the Rfam family "Bacterial small subunit ribosomal RNA", at positions 30 to 507 of the family's 1533-position model. The record is from RNAcentral.
AUUGAACGCUGGCGGCAGGCCUAACACAUGCAAGUCGAGCGGAUGAAGGGAGCUUGCUCCUGGAUUCAGCGGCGGACGGGUGAGUAAUGCCUAGGAAUCUGCCUGGUAGUGGGGGAUAACGUCCGGACACGGGCGCUAAUACCGCAUACGUCCUGAGGGAGAAAGUGGGGGAUCUUCGGACCUCACGCUAUCAGAUGAGCCUAGGUCGUAUUAGCUAGUUGGUGGGGUAAAGGCCUACCAAGGCGACGAUCCGUAACUGGUCUGAGAGGAUGAUCAGUCACACUGGAACUGAGACACGGUCCAGACUCCUACGGGAGGCAGCAGUGGGGAAUCUUGGACAAUGGGCGAAAGCCUGAUCCAGCCAUGCCGCGUGUGUGAAGAAGGUCUUCGGAUUGUAAAGCACUUUAAGUUGGGAGGAAGGGCAGUAAGUUAAUACCUGGCUGUUUUGACGUUACCAACAGAAUAAGCACCGGCUAACUUCGUG